RNAcentral lists this ribosomal RNA (109 nucleotides) under Esox lucius (northern pike). The record is from RNAcentral. Lineage: Eukaryota; Metazoa; Chordata; Actinopteri; Esociformes; Esocidae.
GCUUACGGCCACACCUCCCUGAGCACACCUGAUCUCGGAAGCUAAGCAGGGUCGGGCCCGGUUAGUACUUGGAUGGGAGACCGCCUGGGAAUACCAGGUGAUUUAAGCC